UACGUAGGGUGCAAGCGUUAAUCGGAAUUACUGGGCGUAAAGCGUGCGCAGGCGGUGAUGUAAGACAGAUGUGAAAUCCUCGGGCUCAACCUGGGAACUGCAUUUGUGACUGCAUCGCUGGAGUGCGGCAGAGGGGGAUGGAAUUCCGCGUGUAGCAGUGAAAUGCGUAGAUAUGCGGAGGAACACCGAUGGCGAAGGCAAUCCCCUGGGCCUGCACUGACGCUCAUGCACGAAAGCGUGGGGAGCAAACAGG
RNAcentral lists this ribosomal RNA (253 nucleotides) under uncultured bacterium. RNAcentral describes it as "partial 16S ribosomal RNA". It matches the Rfam family "Bacterial small subunit ribosomal RNA", at positions 524 to 776 of the family's 1533-position model. The record is from RNAcentral.